This 83-nucleotide transfer RNA is filed under the name Giardia muris. It matches the Rfam family "tRNA". From Rfam's summary of the family: Transfer RNA (tRNA) molecules are approximately 80 nucleotides in length. Their secondary structure includes four short double-helical elements and three loops (D, anti-codon, and T loops). Lineage: Eukaryota; Fornicata; Diplomonadida; Hexamitidae. The record is from Rfam by way of RNAcentral.
GCCAGUUUGGCCGAGUGGUUAAGGCGUCCGACUCAAGAUCGGAUACCCGGAAGGGUGCGUGGGUUCGAGCCCCACAGCUGGCA